Molecule: long non-coding RNA, 421 nt
Organism: Armigeres subalbatus
Lineage: Eukaryota; Metazoa; Arthropoda; Insecta; Diptera; Culicidae
Exons: 3
Source: RefSeq, a predicted model, not a curated record
GGAAAAUCAUCUAGUAGAUAUUCAUAGGUCAUGUUGUGCUAUUUGUAAAGGUGGCAAGCUCGCGGCAUCGCAAUCAAUAAUCCAAUGGUAAGUGACUACGUUUUCCAUAAAUUAUGCAGGUUUAUCGCCGUUACAUUACCAUUGUUAACCAUUUUUCUACGAAACCGUCAUGAUGGCAUGUCAAACAUCUUUUGCAGAAACGUAACAUACUGUUGUUCUAUUUCAAUGAUGAAGAUUCGAUUAUUUUGUUCAUACAGAUGGCAGUCACCGGAAACGAUCCACUGAUGGAUCGAAACCCGAUACAGGAUUUGCGGUAUCUGGCAGCUAAAGGAAGUGACGGAAUCGUGAUGCAAUUGACUUCCAGAUUAAUCAAUUCCAUUCCUGAAUAUCUGUUAUUACUGUGUGGGACGAUGGUACAAUA